Mastomys coucha (southern multimammate mouse) is the source of this 262-nucleotide long non-coding RNA. RefSeq lists it as uncharacterized. The record is from RefSeq and is a predicted model, not a curated record. NCBI's taxonomy places the organism in Eukaryota, Metazoa, Chordata, Mammalia, Rodentia, Muridae. The transcript is spliced from 3 exons.
UAUCCUCUGGAGACUGUAUCUUAUCUAAGUGCUGGGAGGCACAGCCUCACACAGCCCAGGACUCAGUGAAACAGCUUCAUCACAGAUAGACAAGUAGGAACCACUGGAGCCCAGCGAGCCCAGCGUGUGUGGCGAGGCAGCACACAGCUGUGCCCUGAUUUGUACAGCUCUGGUGCCUGCCGGCUCCUAUUUCCUCCUCCUGUUAAUGACAAACAGCCAUGCUUGGUGAAGCACUGGGUCCCGAGUUCGGAUCCCAGCAACC